UAGCCUACCAUGUAGAGGUGACACCAUGAUCAUGAUGUCACCUUCUCAGUGAGGCUUUCCCAUUGCAUCUGGAUGUGCUGCCCCGUGUGCUACUCAAAUGCGGGGAAUUCCACCACACAAUUUGCCAUCUUGAGGGACUGCACUCUCGCUCACACGGU
RNAcentral lists this small nuclear RNA (158 nucleotides) under Peromyscus maniculatus bairdii (prairie deer mouse). RNAcentral's name for it is "U1 spliceosomal RNA (ENSPEMG00000003400.2)". The record is from RNAcentral. Lineage: Eukaryota; Metazoa; Chordata; Mammalia; Rodentia; Cricetidae.